CGACCUGCGCCACUGGCACUGAGAACUGGCCAGACACCUACGGGUGGCUGCAGUCGAGGAUCUUCGGCAAUGGGCGCAAGCCUGACCGAGCGACGCCGCGUGCGGGAUGAAGGCCUUCGGGUUGUAAACCGCUGUCGUAGGGGAUGAAACGCUAGUGAGUUAUCUCAUUAGUUUGACUGAACCUAGGAGGAAGGGCCGGCUAAUCUCGUGCCAGCAGCCGCGGUAAUACGAGAGGCCCAAACGUUAUUCGGAUUUACUGGGCUUAAAGAGUUCGUAGGCGGCACGGACAGUGGGGUGUGAAAUCCCUCGGCUUAACCGAGGAACUGCGCUCCAAACUAUCGUGCUAGAGGGGGAUAGAGGUAAGCGGAACUGAUGGUGGAGCGGUGAAAUGCGUUGAUAUCAUCAGGAACACCGGAGGCGAAGGCGGCUUACUGGGUCCUUUCUGACGCUGAGGAACGAAAGCUAGGGGAGCAAACAGGAUUAGAUACCCUGGUAGUCCACGCCCUAAACGAUGCGAACUGGAUGUUGGGCUCAACUUGGAGCUCAGUAUCGAAGCUAACGCGUUAAGUUCGCCGCCUGGGGAGUACGGUCGCAAGACUGAAACUCAAAGGAAUUGACGGGGGCCCGCACAAGCGGUGGAGUAUGUGGUUUAAUUCGAUGCAACGCGAAGAACCUUACCUGGCC
RNAcentral lists this ribosomal RNA (684 nucleotides) under uncultured bacterium. RNAcentral describes it as "bacterial SSU rRNA". It matches the Rfam family "Bacterial small subunit ribosomal RNA", at positions 301 to 980 of the family's 1533-position model. The record is from RNAcentral.